UUGAAAUUAUUGACAAGCAUAUGAGUUCUGGCCUAAAUUACUUGUGCACAAAAUAAAACAACGACUAACCAAAAUGACUCAAUGUCGAAUCCGCAUGAGAAAGCUUGAAUUGAAAGUGAGGGAAAAGAUAAUGACAGUGCCCAGAAAGGAGAAGAGAGAAGCUAGGAGGGAGGAAAAAGCUGAAAAGGCUG
This is a long non-coding RNA of Zingiber officinale, 191 nucleotides long. RefSeq lists it as uncharacterized. The record is from RefSeq and is a predicted model, not a curated record. Lineage: Eukaryota; Viridiplantae; Streptophyta; Magnoliopsida; Zingiberales; Zingiberaceae. The transcript has 3 exons.